RNAcentral lists this transfer RNA (73 nucleotides) under Ailuropoda melanoleuca (giant panda). It matches the Rfam family "tRNA". Rfam says of the family: Transfer RNA (tRNA) molecules are approximately 80 nucleotides in length. Their secondary structure includes four short double-helical elements and three loops (D, anti-codon, and T loops). Further hydrogen bonds mediate the characteristic L-shaped molecular structure. tRNAs have two regions of fundamental functional importance: the anti-codon, which is responsible for specific mRNA codon recognition, and the 3' end, to which the tRNAs corresponding amino acid is attached (by aminoacyl-tRNA synthetases). tRNAs cope with the degeneracy of the genetic code in two manners: having more than one tRNA (with a specific anti-codon) for a particular amino acid; and 'wobble' base-pairing, i.e. permitting non-standard base-pairing at the 3rd anti-codon position. Lineage: Eukaryota; Metazoa; Chordata; Mammalia; Carnivora; Ursidae. The record is from Rfam by way of RNAcentral.
GCCUGGCUGGCUCAGUUGGAAGAGCAUGUGAUUCUUGAUCUCAGGGUCAUGAGUUCGAGCUCCACAUCAGGCA